This 505-nucleotide ribosomal RNA is filed under the name uncultured bacterium. RNAcentral's name for it is "partial 16S ribosomal RNA". It matches the Rfam family "Bacterial small subunit ribosomal RNA", at positions 28 to 507 of the family's 1533-position model. The record is from RNAcentral.
GACGAACGCUGGCGGCGUGCCUAAUACAUGCAAGUAGAACGCACAGUUUAUACCGUAGCUUGCUACACCAUAGACCGUGAGUUGCGAACGGGUGAGUAACGCGUAGGUAACCUGCCUGGUAGCGGGGGAUAACUAUUGGAAACGAUAGCUAAUACCUCAUAAUAUUAAUUAUUGCAUGAUAAUUAAUUGAAAGGUGCAAUUGCACCACUACCAGAUGGACCUGCGUUGUAUUAGCUAGUAGGUGAGGUAACGGCUCACCUAGGCGACGAUACAUAGCCGACCUGAGAGGGUGAUCGGCCACACUGGGACUGAGACACGGCCCAGACUCCUACGGGAGGCAGCCGUAGGGAAUCUUCGGCGAUGGACGAAAGUCUGAACGAGCAACGCCGCGUGAGUGAAGAAGGUUUUCGGAUCGUAAAGCUCUGUUGUAAGAGAAGAACGGGUGUGAGAGUGGAAAGUUCACACUGUGACGGUAUCUUACCAGAAAGGGACGGCUAACUACGUG